GUGAACGCUGGCGGCAGGCCUAACACAUGCAAGUCGAACGGCAGCACAGCAGUAGCAAUACUGUGGGUGGCGAGUGGCGGACGGGUGAGGAAUACAUCGGAAUCUGCCCAGUCGUGGGGGACAACCAGCCGAAAGGUUGGCUAAUACCGCAUGCGACCGGAAGGUGAAAGCGGGGGACCCCUUAAAAGGCCUCGCGCGAUUGGAUGAGCCGAUGUCGGAUUAGCUAGUUGGUAGGGUAAAGGCCUACCAAGGCGACGAUCCGUAGCUGGUCUGAGAGGAUGAUCAGCCACACUGGAACUGAGACACGGUCCAGACUCCUACGGGAGGCAGCAGUGGGGAAUAUUGGACAAUGGGCGCAAGCCUGAUCCAGCAAUGCCGCGUGUGUGAAGAAGGCCUUCGGGUUGUAAAGCCCUUUUGUCCGGAACGAAAAGCGCCAGGUUAAUAACCUGUCGUGCUGACGGUACCGGUUGAAUAAGCACCGGCUAACUUCGUGCCAGCGGCCGCGGUAAUACGAAGGGUGCAAGCGUUAAUCGGAAUUACUGGGCGUAAAGGGUGCGUAGACGGUUUGUUAAGUCGGAUGCGAAAGCCCCGGGCUCAACCUGGGAACUGCAUCUGAUACUGGCAGGCUAGAGUGUGAUAGAGGAUGGUGGAAUUCCCGGUGUAGCGGUGAAAUGCGUAGAGAUCGGGAGGAACAUCUGUGGCGAAGGCGGCCAUCUGGAUCAACACUGACGUUGAGGCACGNNNGCGUGGGGAGCAAACAGGAUUAGACCCUGGUAGUCCACGCCCUAA
RNAcentral lists this ribosomal RNA (789 nucleotides) under uncultured bacterium. RNAcentral describes it as "bacterial SSU rRNA". It matches the Rfam family "Bacterial small subunit ribosomal RNA", at positions 29 to 805 of the family's 1533-position model. The record is from RNAcentral.